Molecule: non-coding RNA, 31 nt
Filed under: Rattus norvegicus (Norway rat)
Lineage: Eukaryota; Metazoa; Chordata; Mammalia; Rodentia; Muridae
Source: RNAcentral
UGACAGAGCCUCCUUCCUAUGAAAGCACUGU